CCUAGGACCCGUACUAUCAAGUAUUGCUGAAUCCCGUCAGGACUGGAAGGUAGCAGCGGUAAGCGAUUUUUUUGAUGAGUACGUAAGUCUUAGGUUUAAUUUU
RNAcentral lists this signal recognition particle RNA (103 nucleotides) under Borreliella burgdorferi B31. It matches the Rfam family "Bacterial small signal recognition particle RNA". From Rfam's summary of the family: The signal recognition particle (SRP) is a universally conserved ribonucleoprotein involved in the co-translational targeting of proteins to membranes. Archaeal SRP consists of a 7S RNA and homologues of the eukaryotic SRP19 and SRP54 proteins. RNAcentral also lists the same sequence under 1 other name. The record is from RNAcentral. Lineage: Bacteria; Pseudomonadati; Spirochaetota; Spirochaetia; Spirochaetales; Borreliaceae.